RNAcentral lists this ribosomal RNA (441 nucleotides) under uncultured bacterium. Its description in RNAcentral is "partial 16S ribosomal RNA". It matches the Rfam family "Bacterial small subunit ribosomal RNA", at positions 338 to 795 of the family's 1533-position model. The record is from RNAcentral.
CCUACGGGGUGCAGCAGUGGGGGAUAUUGCACAAUGGGGGGAACCCUGAUGCAGCGACGCCGCGUGGGUGAAGGAGCGUUUCGGCGCAUAAAGCCCUAUCGGCAGGGAAGAAGGAGGACGGUACCUGACUAAGAAGCCCCGGCUAACUACGUGCCAGCAGCCGCGGUAAUACGUAGGGGGCAAGCGUUAUCCGGAUUUACUGGGUGUAAAGGGGGCGCAGACGGCAGCGCAAGCCAGGAGUGAAAGCCCGGGGCCCAACCCCGGGACUGCUCUUGGAACUGCGCGGCUGGAGUGCAGGAGGGGCAGGCGGAAUUCCUGGUGUAGCGGUGAAAUGCGUAGAUAUUAGGAGGAACACCAGUGGCGAAGGCGGCUUACUGGACUGUAACUGACGUUGAGGCUCGAAAGCGUGGGGAGCAAACAGGAUUAGAUACCCUAGUAGUC